Molecule: non-coding RNA, 2700 nt
Organism: Oryctolagus cuniculus (rabbit)
Lineage: Eukaryota; Metazoa; Chordata; Mammalia; Lagomorpha; Leporidae
Source: RefSeq, a predicted model, not a curated record
GCGGCGUGCGCGAGCACGAGGCGGAGUGGCCUCCCUCAGGCUGAGGCGGCGGCGGGCGCGCGCGCGCGGCGGCGGCGGCAGCGGCGGCGGGUGUGCGAGGCGCGGGCUGUUGUGCUCCGGCGCUCCUCUUUCCCCUCCUCGGCGGGUGGAGGAGGCCGCAGCGGUGCUGGGAGCGCUCCACCUUCUUCUCUCCGCCAACCUGCCCCGGCCCUCUCGCGCUGCGCGGUCUCCCAGACCAGGACUGUCCCGGUCCCGAUAUGGCUCGUGGACAGCAGAAGAUUCAGUCUCAGCAGAAAAAUGCCAAGAAGCAAGCUGGACAAAAGAAGAAACAAGGACAUGACCAAAAGGCUGCUGCCAAAGCUGCCUUAAUAUACACCUGCACUGUCUGCAGGACACAAAUGCCAGACCCUAAGACCUUCAAGCAGCACUUUGAGAGCAAACAUCCUAAGACUCCGCUUCCUCCAGAAUUGGCUGAUGUUCAGGCAUAAAGUUGUUUACAGGCGAAUCUGUGACACCUCUGACUCUUCUGCUGUCUCAGACCCUAGGUAACAAACCUGCAGCUGCUUUUCUAACAAACUGUUGAUCAGCAAAAAUACAGGGGCUACAAAAACACUCAUUUUUAUGCUGUUCCCUUUUGAGCUUCAUGCAAAGACAAUUCUGUGUAAAUGUACAGUUGACUCUGAUUUGGAAAUCUGGAAAUCAGUCCAUCCUUGUUAUAAAAAUUUUUUUACAAUUGUAAUUAUAUUGAUGUUCAUAUUGUGUAAAAUAACUCAUUUAAUAAAGUAGUACUUUGAUUUUACAACAUCACAGGACAAAUGGUUCUAGAAAUUCUGUUCUAAGUUUCCGCAUUAUUUGCCUUAUACAAAUCUUAUGAAUUCACUAGGUAGAAUUGCAAAUGCAGUUCUUAAUCUUUCUCGGCUCAAUGGCAGGUUCGUUAAACUAGACUCAUUCAUUAAAAUUGUGCACACAGUUUUAUUGGCAGCUGAUUUAGGUGAAGAAUGACUGAUCUGCUGCCAUCAUACAUUGCAAUUAUAUGUCAUUGCCCUCCUCUGAUUAUUUCCUGUGUUUGAAGUUGGAAUGUUUAAACGCGAUGUAUGACCUAUUAGUUGCCAGCUAGUAUGCCCUGUAAAUAUCUAAUAAAUUCCUAAAACCAGUUCUGGAUUGUCAGCCCUUCUGAAAGAUUAGGUUUUGAAGAAUAUGCCAUAAUGAAAUGACCAUUAAGCCUAUUGUUUAGUAAAAGAUAUGAUGGAAUGAACAUGGUAAAACCAGUAAAGAUAGACCUUUGAUAAAUUAUAUAGAGUCUUUCAAAAUUCUUCACGUUCUUUAUUUUGGAAUCAAAACAAUUUUUAGAGGAGUUUUUGGAAGGGAUUAACUAUUUGGCCAAUUUUUAUGAUUAAAUUUUUGCAUUAAGAGGAAGAUUGGAACGGCUUGUGGCUAGGUUAAUUCUCAGACUCUCUCCUAAGUCAGUAGUUGAUUUUAGGAGUUUAUUUUGUGCUCGUUCCUGAACUAACAGACUUUGUGUAUGAUGUGACUUCCAUCUGAACUAGAAAAUCUUCACGUUGUUUUGGAUCUAAGGAUGGGGAAGGGGGUUUGUUCAAAUGGAUGAAGUGAAUCUCUCCCAAUUAAUGAAGACUUAAUUUUAGGGUUCUUCUAAUUUGCUUUUGUCAGCUGUUGUACAAAUGGAACUGUUGUAACAUGGAAUAAAUUUUAAAAUUAAUAUAAUAAUAAGAACACUAAAAUAUUUGCUGGUGUAAUUGCUGAAAGCUGCAGAUUGCUCCUGUGGAUUGCAAAGUGCACUCACUGUGUCUGCCCUAACUCGUCACUGUGUUUGUUCUGUGGUUCUGAAUAUUCUGCCCACCGCGUUUGUCUUCACUAUAGUUUAUACCUUACAAUAAGAUACUCCCAAGGAAAAGCUUCAGUGCCGAUAGUUUCCUAGCAAUUCCUGUUUUCAUACCUUUGCUUUAAAAUACAGUUCUUCUGUUUCAUGUAUUUGAUUUCCUAAGUUUCGAAUUUAGUAUCUGUUGUUUUCUAAUAUGUUGAUUACCAGGACAUUAGAAUUUUAUCUUAUUUCUUGAGUGGGUAUUACAGUUCUGGUUAAAUUACAAUUUAAAAGUUAAAAAGUGCUUUGAGUAUAUGUUUAUAUUUAGUAACAAAUCAUUUAAAGGCCAUUCUUGCAUUUUGGUUUAGUUUUUUCAUUUGUUUUACUGACUGUAAUUCAGAAAAAAAGGUUUUUUUGUUCUUGUAUUUAACACUUUUUAUAAGCAGCUGAAGACACCAUAUUUAGUCCUUUAUCUAAGGUGGGGAAGUAGCUGCAUUGAUCUUACCUGAGAUUAAUUCUGAUACUUCAUGUGGAUAUUAUUAGUAAAACCCCCUUUUCAUUGUGCUUAAGUCAAAUCUACUAUAGGAGAAGAUUGCAAGUUUGUUUUAAACAUCCUUGUAAUUUAAUUUGAAGAUUCUAACUGAUCACAGCAAAGUUUGUUAUAAAACUUAUGGUGUCUUCAAAGACUUGAUAAAAUACACUGAGAGAGAAAUGGUCCAUUUGUUUCUGUAUUUCCAUUAGUUGCCAAAAGGAAUGGGGUUAAGUUUAAACUUGUUUCCAUUCUCUUCAUAUGCAUAUACAUCCCCAUGUUUAACUGACACACUGGGGCCUCAGUUGUGUGCUGUACUGUCUUAUUAAAGAAGCUAUUAAAGAAAACUAAA